GAUGAACGCUAGCGGCAGGCCUAACACAUACAAGUCGAGGGGUAACUAGAGUGAUAGCAAUAUUACUUUGGCUAGACCGGCGCACGGGUGCGUAACACGUAUGCAACCUACCUUAUACUGGGGAAUAACUUCGAGAAAUCGGCGCUAAUACCCCAUAACACUGCGGAGAGGCAUCUCUUUGCAGUUAAAGCUCCGGCGGUAUAAGAUGGGCGUGCGUCCAAUUAGCUAGUUGGUGAGGUAACGGCUCACCAAGGCUACGAUUGGUAGGGGUUCAGCGAGGAGGAUCCCCCACACUGGUACUGAGACACGGACCCGACUCCUACGGGAGGCAGCAGUGAGGAGUAUUGCGCAAUGGACGAAAGUCUGACGCAGCCAUGCCGCGUGCAGGAUGACGGCCCUAUGGGUUGUAACUGCUUUUGUACGGGAAUAAACCCUUCUACGUGUAGGAGGCUGAAGGUACCGUAAGAUUAAGCACCGGCUAACUCCGUGCCAGCCGCCGCAGUAA
RNAcentral lists this ribosomal RNA (505 nucleotides) under uncultured bacterium. RNAcentral describes it as "partial 16S ribosomal RNA". It matches the Rfam family "Bacterial small subunit ribosomal RNA", at positions 28 to 523 of the family's 1533-position model. The record is from RNAcentral.